GCAACGAGCGCAACCCUUAUCCUUUGUUGCCAGCGGUCCGGCCGGGAACUCAAAGGAGACUGCCAGUGAUAAACUGGAGGAAGGUGGGGAUGACGUCAAGUCAUCAUGGCCCUUACGACCAGGGCUACACACGUGCUACAAUGGCGCAUACAAAGAGAAGCGACCUCGCGAGAGCAAGCGGACCUCAUAAAGUGCGUCGUAGUCCGGAUUGGAGUCUGCAACUCGACUCCAUGAAGUCGGAAUCGCUAGUAAUCGUGGAUCAGAAUGCCACGGUGAAUACGUUCCCGGGCCUUGUACACACCGCCCGUCACACCAUGGGAGUGGGUUGCAAAAGAAGUAGGUAGCUUAACCUUCGGGAGGGCGCUUACCACUUUGUGAUUCAUGACUGGGGUGAAGUCGUAACAAGGUAACCGUAGGGGAACCUGCGGUUGGAUCACCUCCUUACCUUAAAGAA
Molecule: ribosomal RNA, 454 nt
Filed under: Escherichia coli
Lineage: Bacteria; Pseudomonadati; Pseudomonadota; Gammaproteobacteria; Enterobacterales; Enterobacteriaceae
Description: bacterial SSU rRNA
Rfam family: Bacterial small subunit ribosomal RNA
Source: RNAcentral